GUGAGGAAUAUUGGACAAUGGGCGGGAGCCUGAACCAGCCAAGUCGCGUGAAGGAAGAAGGAUCUAUGGUUCGUAAACUUCUUUUGCAGGGGAAUAAAGUGCAGGACGUGUCCUGUUUUGUAUGUACCCUGAGAAUAAGGAUCGGCUAACUCCGUGCCAGCAGCCGCGGUAAUACGGAGGAUCCGAGCGUUAUCCGGAUUUAUUGGGUUUAAAGGGUGCGUAGGUGGUUUGAUAAGUCAGCGGUGAAAGUUUGCAGCUUAACUGUAAAAAUGCCGUUGAAACUGUCGGACUUGAGUGUAAAUGAGGUAGGCGGAAUGCGUGGUGUAGCGGUGAAAUGCAUAGAUAUCACGCAGAACUCCGAUUGCGAAGGCAGCUUACUAAGCUACAACUGACACUGAAGCACGAAAGCGUGGGGAUCAAACAGGAUUAGAAACCCCAGUAGUCC
Molecule: ribosomal RNA, 445 nt
Filed under: uncultured bacterium
Lineage: Bacteria
Description: partial 16S ribosomal RNA
Rfam family: Bacterial small subunit ribosomal RNA
Source: RNAcentral